GGGAAGUGUAGAAAUACAGAGCUUUCCAAGUCUUGCAGAAUCAGUGGCUCAAAUUGCAUCUAGAAGAGCUCCCCACGCCACCUGUGGGGUUAGAGGGCUCACAGAGUAACCCGUCCCACCUGGAGAAGAGCAAUCACCUGUCCUCGCAGGGCUGUGAGGGCUGGGGAGCUGAUAUAAGUCAGGCUGAAGUGAGGCUGGCUGCUUUUUGGAGGAGUGGUUGGGCAAGACAGUGCUCUGGUGGUCAGAUCAUCCUGAGCAUCAGGCAGCAGUGCUGGCUGGACCUGGGAUGCUGUUUGCUUGUGUAAGGCCCACUGGCUUCUGCUGCUCAGGAAAUACCCCCAAACCCACCAGUGGACGCUCACCCCAACCCCCCCCCUCCCACCCAAAGGCUCCCGGUUGGUGCUUGCACUUUCCUGCACGAGGACCAUCAGCAGGAGAGGGAUUUGCUGCAGACUGCAGCAGGAAAGGUGGAAUGCGGAGCGUGAGAGGAGCAGCCACCUUUCAGGCCAACAGCUGCUUUGGGGGAUGGGUUGGAUAAAUGUGCAGGGUUUCCAAUCAGCCCCACACACCCCGGUCAGAAGGCUUCACCGGAGCACAGCGUGGGGGAAUGGCUGCUGAUAACACUGCGUCCAUCCCAGACAUCCCCACAAACUUUCCUGGAGGAACCCACACCACCAGAGGGGACCGCAGUGGGUCACAACCUGACCCGACCCCAAAGGGCAGCGAUGCAGAUGGCAGUGGGAAAACCAGGUCGGAGUGCAUUGGAAAGAGCUGAAAGUCAGAGGGAUCUCCUCCAAGCCACCUCUCGCUGCUUUUGGAUGCUAGGAGGAACCAACUCUGCGUUGAAGCACUUGGCACAAGGCAGGACCAAGCGCAGAUCCCCCUUCCAACACAUGCACGAGAGCAGAGCUGAACCGUUCGCACAGAAAACAGCUGGAAAAACACAACAAAAUCAAAAGGUCCUUCUGCUCCAUCUCCUGCCUGUAGGUUCUGGUGGGUUGCAGAGCGUUGCCCUCCAUGGUUUGCAGCUCUGCAGAAGGGCUGAGAGCACAGGGACACCAAAGUGUGCCUCUCCCAUGGGGGAGCGUGGGGUCAGCGAGGUGCCCUGGGGACACUCACCCCAACCCAUCUCAUGUCCAGCCGGCGUCUCCCAUAUCCAUCAGCCACGUGCAGCCAGCGCAUUAAAAUCUCAUUUAAAAAGGAAUCAAGGUUUAAUCCAUCCGUGUUUGAAAAUGGUCUUUUCCCAUAUCCUGCUUUUGGCACGGCCUCCCAGCCGGGCCGUUGCACCUCACCCCAGAAUGGGCUCAGCUGCUGCAGCCGGGGGUCCCACGCCGGCACCGAGCGGCCAACGGAGCUGCCAUGUUCAUAUUUUAUCUUUUAUUGGCUUUUUUUUUUUUUCCCUCUUUCCCCCUAUUUUACCCUUUCUGCACCACGACUCCCUGGGGCCCCAGCAGAACAUCUGGCCAAGCCACUUCUGGUUCCAUUUAUUGGCGGAUAAUUUAUUUGUGGACCAGAAGGGAAAAGAGACCCAACUGUUCAGAGGAGGAGUAUUGGUAGGGCCGUUGGUGGUGCUGCUCAAACACGAGCUCCUUAGGUGUGAUCCAGACCCAGGGAAGUCAAACACAGAUCUCCCCUUUGGAUCCAGAGCUGUCAGAUCUCAGUCCAAACGCACGGAGGGAAAUCAUUCGAAUGCACACUCUGUGAGUAUUAUUGGUGUUAUUCGUUCGCUGGGAAUAUUUGGAGGUAUUCAUUCCUUGCACACAUUACCAGAGCAGCUCCCGCUCGGAGAACGAAAUUAAAGAGUGCAAACCACCACUUCUCACUUUUCUGUCCUUUUCUCUUUCGUGCCCCUUUUUGCCCCCCAUCCCUUUCUUGUGGUGUAUGAGCACGGAAUAAAGGCAGCAGCACAGCAGCUCACAGCACACGAGUGCUUUGCAGCAGGACAGCCCUCCGGAUCCCUGCCUUCCCAGCACCCAGGCACCCUCCCCAUUGCUUAUUUGUGCUGCAGCAUUGAGCUCCACUCAUUGCACAUGAAAGGUGUCAGCGGGCUGCUCUGCUAUCAGCAGGCUCAUGGAGCUCUCUUAAGCACAUCCAAUGGCCGUGGAUCCUAUUCAAUUUCCCCCACGUUUGGCUAAAAUUACCCAGCUUUCAAAAAUAUCAAUGGUUGGUUUUUUUUUCCUCCUUCUUUCCUUGCACGACCAAAAGCGUUGGGUUUAAUUUUUCUUCAAAUCAAAAUCCAGAGGUGUUUUCCGAGGAGGCAUUUUGGGGGAAAAAAAAGAAGAAAUAGUGAAACAUUUCACAAAUCCGGCAGCCAGAAGCAAUGGAGCCCUCUCCCCUGGGAGGAGUCUCAUUUACUUCUGGCAUUGCCAUGCAUAGCAGUGGUCAGCCCAUUGUACACGUGGCUAAUCACAAUGUGGAGAGUGAAACGGGAUUCUUUGCAUUGACUUUUGGGAACGACAGCCCGAGCCUGAAUGCUUCCCUGCACUGAAACACCUUCAUGUGUGCACGGUGCAGCAUCCGGCAGCUGAAGGGAUUCUGAGCUCUCUGACAACUGCUGUUCCCCCCUUUCUGGCUGGCAGCAGGGACUGAUCAUUACAAGCUGCCCCAUGUAGGGUCACCAUCCCUGGGGAUGUUGCAGAGCCGUGGGGCUGUGGCACUGAGGGAUGCGGGCAAUGGGCACAGUGGGUCAGCAGUUGGAUGUGAUGUUCUUAGAGGUCUUCUCCGACCUGAAUGGCUCUGUGACCCUAUUUCCAUAGACUCAGCCUGCGUGCCAACCUCUUGGGCAGGUUUUGGAUGGGAUGAUGGUGGGACACCCGGCCCCUCCCUGGGCCACAAACCUCGGGCACCCACGUGCCACCACGAGCUGCCUGGGGGCAAGGCGAGCUGAGCUGCCCACCUUUCUGGGCUCACACAGAGGUUUCCUUCCCACCCGCACAGCCCAUGCGUGACAUCAGAUCUCACAGCUCGGGCUCUCACGGGGCUUUUUCAGCUGUCAUGAGAUCAGCUUUUCCUGCUUGUGACCAAAUCCAAACAAUUAGAAAAAAAGAAAGAAAGAAAGAAAGAAAUCCAAGCCAGGAACAAAGUCACCAAAUGCUUUCACAGCUUGGUAGGGCUUUGGGAUGGGUUUCAGCCCUUCUCUCGUUUGCCUUUCUGUUUUGACAGUGGAGGAAUCAGUGGGACUGCACAAUAAACAGAGUGUUUACGGAAAGCAAGUUUUUAUCAGCAUCUGAUGGGUGUUUGUUUGGAGAAGCGUUAGCUCUAACCCAUGGGGGAUGCUGACUUCUGCAGUUUGCUGCCCCCAUUAAGGACUUACUGAUGGGGAAUGGUUGGGAGGUCUGGGUCGUGUCCUUUUGUCUCAGCACACAGAAGAUGGCAGUCGAUGCUCGUUGGGAUGCUGGGACCCAGGGCUGGGGCUGCCACAGCCACUAACUGCAAUGGUGCUCCCAUCACAGGCUCUUCCUGCAUUUUCAAGUCCUUAACCCGUUUUAUUUCUUGGGAAAGCAUCUGGCUGUCAGCUCCGGGUCUGUCCAGUCUGUCAUUUCACAGAAAUACACAAACAUCCCUCUUUGGGUGAUGGAUUGGGGCUGCACUUUGGCUUGGAUCACACAGCCCAGAGUGGCAGAGAGGCUUUGAAGUACUGCAAAUUUCCCAUUCCCUUAGUGCCAGCAGAACAGCCCACGGGAGAGAAAUCCAUGCUGGGAAACAGCCCUUGGCUCAUUUACGGUGGUCCAGCAUCACCCCAUAUAACACGACGCACCCCACUAAUGCACCCUCAGCUCCCUGCACUGCAGAGCGCUUCCAAAGCCGUGCAAUGCCAGCUUCGUGCAUGCACAAAGGGCUUCCACAGCAAAAAGCCCUCUUGCACUGCUUUCCCAGCGCCUCCAUCCUGCACACCGUGGGGAUUUGACAGCAGAUUGCAGGGUCCAGGACACAGCAGCCUGCGGUCGGUGUCCCAUAGUAAGCGCUGGGUCCCAGGACCUUUUGCCUUGCAUGUGAGAGAGCCCCACUUGGAAAAAUAUGAGCAAGCACUCCGAUGAUUUUAUGCUGAUUUACUG
RNAcentral lists this long non-coding RNA (4055 nucleotides) under Gallus gallus (chicken). Its description in RNAcentral is "lncRNA (ENSGALG00010026307.1)". Lineage: Eukaryota; Metazoa; Chordata; Aves; Galliformes; Phasianidae. The record is from RNAcentral.